Aegilops tauschii subsp. strangulata is the source of this 3418-nucleotide RNA transcript. It is a transcript of the gene named U11/U12 small nuclear ribonucleoprotein 48 kDa protein, with no coding region annotated. NCBI's taxonomy places the organism in Eukaryota, Viridiplantae, Streptophyta, Magnoliopsida, Poales, Poaceae. The record is from RefSeq and is a predicted model, not a curated record.
GCCGACUGCUUCUCUUUGAUGCAGGGCACCACAGCCGCGAGGGGGAAACCCGCGUUUUUCCGGAUUGGGGUCGGGAUUUUGCCGCGCCCCAUAAAUUUUUUUCGGGCCGGGACGGGAUGUGGGGUCUGGUCGGGCAGGUUUUUUCGCCCCUACCCGCAUUUUGGCAGUUAUUUUGCGGGCCGGGGGCGGAUGCGGGGAUGCGGGUGAGUUGCAGGAGCAUAGCAGAUCUGUUCUCUCUUCCUUCGUCGACCGAACCAGGUUCCUCAUUCGCCUCCCAUGGAGACGCCGCCUCCACCACCUGCCCUGCCGUCCGUUCUCGCCCACCUGCGGUCCCUCCUCUCCGCCGCCUCUUCCGCUCUAUCCUCCCUCCCUUCCCCACUCCUCCCCUGCUCCACCACCACCACGGCGACGAUCGCCACCUCCUCCACACUCCCCGCACCUGCGCCCACCACCCCGCUCCCAUCUCUCCCCUCUUCACCGACUUCCGAAAUCCCCCUCCCCCUCCCGGCUGCGCCCGCCCCCUACCACGACUGCCCAGCCGUCGUCCGCACCACCAGCCAACCGCCCGCCUCGUCCUCCCUCCCCGCCUUCCUCGCCGCCGAGUGUGCAGACUUCGCCUCCUCCACUGCCGCCCCAACCCUCUCCUCUCCUCCCCGCAUCCUCCCGUCUGAGCUCUGCCUCCUGCGUCGGGAGGUGGACUCCUGGGGCUGCCACCACCCCCCCGGGGCGUACUCCUACGCCGCGGCCCGCGUGGUGGAGGCACUGCGGCUAGGUGCUCUACAGUGGGAAGUCGAGCUGCGGCGCUGGUUGCUCGCGAGCUCACCGAAAUAUGGUAUCGUGAUUGAUGCGGCCAGUCGAGACCAUGUGUUUGUGCUGGUCAGGCUGUGUAUGAAGGCGGCGGCGGCGGAGGCAGGGUGCUCGCUGGAACGCCUGCCCAAGGGGGAGGGCGAGGAGUUUCGUCUUGAUCCGAGGCCUGUGCGGUUCGAGUGCCCCAGGCUGGUUGAUGGUGUCUCCUGGUUGGCGAGCCAGCUCGAGGUUUUGUAUGGGAAGGGCAAUGGCUGGUUCUUCGCGAUUACGGCGGUGAAGGAGGCAAUUCUUAGGUUGGGGUCUUGUUUGGCUGUCGGUGUUGGAGAUGGUGUUGCUGGAGGCGCUAGUGAAAAAGGAUGUGAGUUGAGAGAUACUGGGACAUGCCCUAUUUUUGUCUCUCAGGUUGCUGCUGCCAUUGCAGCCUUACAUGACAGGUUGUCCCUGGAUAAGAAGAUUAGGGCUCUGCAAGCUCCACGCCCAUCCAAAUAUCAGCUGUUACUUGAAUAUUCACAAAUACUGAAGCAAGGCUGUGAUGAGCGUUCAAAGCGACCAAACUACAGAGCUGUUCUGGAUUAUGAUGGAAUUCUACCACGUCAAAUGGAUAACCAGGAAUCUGGUAGGUCCAAGACAAGGGAGGAGCUGCUAGCUGAAGAACGGGAUUACAAGAGAAGAAGAAUGUCUUACCGUGGGAAGAAAAUGAAGCGAAAUCCAACAGAGAUAUUAAGAGACAUAAUUGAUGAGCACAUGGCGGAAAUAAAACAAGCAGGUCUGGGGGAACCUCCUGGUGACAUUGCACAAAAUAUACUUGAGACCAAUUCUAAUGGAGGCGCUUACCAAGGAAGCUCUUGUGAUAAGGCUAUUUUGGGUUCUCGAUUACCUAGUCGUGAGAACUCACCGCAUACUGCAUCAAGGAGCCAUGACACAAGGGAUUCAUAUAUGAACAUAAGAUAUGAAAAUAGUGGACACCGUCACCAAAAUGUAUCUGAGCAUGAGAAAGGAGGGAUCAGAGAAUCAGGAAAUGCAAUGAAUCGAGGCUAUUCUGACCGGCAUGAUUACACACAUAAAAGAAACACCAAUGAUCAUAGGAAAUAUGGUAAUAAGUAUAAAAAGAACAUCCCAGAUUACCAUUCUGAAUCAAGUGAUCGUUCAGCAUGGUCCACGCGAACACCAAAAUCCUCGGAAAGAGAAUACGGCGGCAUGCCAGGAGAUAAAAGCAAUGAUAGAACCAGAACUACUCAGAACAGACAUGGAUCAAUACCUGGGAAUAAAGAUCAGUUCAGUGAUAGAUAUGAUCCCAAAAGCAGAUAUUCUGAUGAGGAUCCUCGUGAAGCAUACCAUGAUGCGUGAUCUGAAUUACUGAGGAACAGAGUACAUUUUCCUGUUGAUCUCAGUAUACUGUGUAAUACAGGCAUCUGGGUUAAUACCGUCAGCUGUAUCCUUUUCUGUAUCCUUAUGCAGAAAAUGCUUUACUAUUUCUGCUGAGAUUGUUGUAGUGACAGUCUGUUACAGUUCCUGAAUAUGGGAAAUUAUUAAUUGUUAGUGCAUUUUCUUGCUUAUAAAUUACAUUCAUCUCACCAAUCAAAUUUCCAUCUAAUUUUAGCUAAUCAAAAAUAUCGGAACAUCAUGUAGGGUGCAUAUGUUUCCCGUUCACAACCGAUCUUUUAAAAGGACUUCCUGUUAGUUUCGAAGCAUGCAUUCGUAAUAACUUCGCUAUGGAAUUCUAUCCUUUUUAGUUAGGGUACCCUUUUAGUUUUGAACUGGCAGGAAUUUCAGUUGACUACCUUUGCCUGGAAAGGGCAUGGCUGGAAUAAAUUUUCUUCACCUAUCUGCUUGCAUUGCAUCUCAUGCAGAUGCUACUCAUGCAUAAUUAUUGGUUCAUGUUAUUUUUUGUGGGCCUAGUUUUUCUACAAUGAGUUCUGUAAGCGAAGGCCAAUCUUAAGCGCCACAACCCAGUAGUUGUGACUUGUAUUGUCCUAUUUUUUAUGGACUGUGUUUUGCUCUACUGUUAGGUAGUGUUAAAAUGGAUUUUCCAUACAUAUCAAGUACUUACACAUAAGAAAGUGAUGUAGGUAGUACUGAAGUAGGGUUCUGCAUCUGCCAAGAUGUAGCCAGGUGCCCUCCGGUGUUCAAGCUUGAUGAAGCAGCACUUACACAAUCAUUCCCAGUGGUGGAUGUGAAGAACACAUGUUUUGGCUGUGCUGUUUGUACUUCUUUAGCUUUGCAACAUGGAGGAGCACGCUUGAGUGUCUGCUCCCUUGGACGGGGAGGACAGUGGCCUCAAUUAGGUAUCUGAGCUGGAUGUUGAAGUUUGAUGAACUACUUAGACAACAGUAAUUUUGAUAGGUAGUUAGUUCGUCUAAGUUCUGUUUAGCUCAUCGCAAUCACGGAGUUUUACCCCUUUGGCGUGCAACAGCCAUCCUGCUGGUAAGGUGUUUCCUAGAGCACAAAACCUUCCUUCGCCAAUCAAAGUUCAACACAUGGGUUGUUCGAGAAAUUUGUUUACGUCAGUAUUUUGCUCACUGAGAGCAUGUAUGGUUAAAUUUUGCAUUUUGUUAGUUUGUGAUACACUAAAAAAAAGGUUCCGAAUUGGCAUUGCACCCGUUUUCAGAAA